This is a long non-coding RNA of Gossypium arboreum, 292 nucleotides long. RefSeq lists it as uncharacterized. NCBI's taxonomy places the organism in Eukaryota, Viridiplantae, Streptophyta, Magnoliopsida, Malvales, Malvaceae. The transcript is spliced from 2 exons. The record is from RefSeq and is a predicted model, not a curated record.
AAUUUCUACGACUUUUACAAAUUAGUCCAGAUUGACUUGAAGUGAAGUGGGUAGAUCGGAUCAACACAACAGGGCACACUAUUCAGAUCAAUUCAUGUAGUUUUUGUUUUAUGUUUAAAGAUUUAUAUGGCAUGUAUAGAGUUUGAAUGAAUUGAAGUAAAGAUGUUAUAAACUAGUUAACAAUAUUUGUACUAAAACAGUUUUCGGUAAGUAGCAGUAGUUUGACUUUGAAAAAUCACUAAAAAUAGUAGAAAUGGAAUUAAAUAAUGAAUAAAUUAUGGAAUCGAAUCUU